GGUCAAGCUACUAAGGGCGCACGGGGGAUGUCUUGGCACCAAGAAGCGAUGAAGGGCGUGGAAGGCUGCGAUAAGCCCAGGGGGAGCCGUCAAACAGGCGUUGAUCCCGGGAUUCCCGAAUGAGUGUGUUCUGAAUCCAUAGGAACACACGGCGAACGUGGGGAACUGAAACAUCUCAUUACCCACAGGAAAAGAAAGAAAACUCGACUCCCUGAGUAGCGGCGAGCGAAAAGGGAUCAGCCUAAACCGUCAGCUACGGCUGGCGGGGUCGUGGGAUCAGAUUUUUAGGGACGCGUUGCUAGAAGAACUCUGGGUGGAACCCCAGGACCAUAGAGGGUGAGAGUCCCGUAUUUGAAAGCGACAGAUUCCGUAUCUGACACCCGAGUAAGUCCGAGCACGUGGAACUCGGACCGAAUCUGGGGGGCCCAUCCCCCAAGGCUAAGUAUUCCUUGGUGACCGAUAGUGAAUCAAGUAGCGCGAGCGAAAGAUGAAAAGAACCCCGUUGAGGGGAGGGAAAGAACCUGAAACCGUGUGCCUACAAGCUGUCGGAGCCAGUCUCUUUGAGACGGGUGACGGCGUGCCUAUUGAAUAAUGAUCCGGCGAGUUACCGUCGUUGGCUCGGUUAAGACCUUACGGGUCGAAGCCAGAGGGAAACCAAGUCUGAACAGGGCGACCAAUGGUCACCGGCGGUAGACGCGAAACCUAGUGAACUACGCAUGGGCAGGUUGAAGCGCGGGUAAGACCGCGUGGAGGACCGAACUCACCAGUGUUGAAAAACUGGGGGAUGACCUGUGUGGAGGACUAAAAGUGUCAUCAAACUGGGAGAUAGCUCGUUCUCUCCGAAAAUACUUUAGGGUAUGCCUUGAGCCACUAUGUGAUGGGGGUAGAGAGACUGAACUGGGUCGGGGGCCUUCCCGGCUACCCGCCCUAACCAAACUCCGAAUACCAUCAUAACUAUCUCAGGAGGUAGUCCGUAGGGGAGAAGCUCUACGGUCGAGAGGGAAACAACCCAGAUCGCCUGCUAAGGUCCCAGAAUUCUGCUCAGUCAGAAAGGAUGUUUGAUUGCAAUGACAGCCGGGAUGUUGGCUUAGAAGCAGCCACCAUUUAAAAAGUGCGUAAUAGCUUACCGGUCGAGCAGUCAUGCACCGAUAAUGAACGGGAGUAAGCAGAAUACCGAAGCAGCGGGCUCAGAAAUGAGCGGUAGGAGAGCGUUCUCGGACAGCGAGCUGUACCGUAAGGAGCAGUGGAGGGUCCGAGAAGUGAUUAUGCCGGAAUGAGUAACGAUCAGGCAGGUGAGAAUCCUGCCCGCCGUAUGCCUAAGGUUUCCUGGGGAAGGCAAAUCCGCCCAGGGUCAGUCGGCCCCUUAGUCAAGGCCGAAAGGCGUAGACGAUGGACAACAGGUUAAUAUUCCUGUACCGGAUUGUGGACUGAUGCGGGGACGUGGUCCGAAAGGUAAUCGGAGAACUAGAAUUCUCCGUAGGGCUGAACAGGUCUAGCGGGGUUAAAUGACCGCGACAUGAACUGGUCAGUUCUCGAGUCCCUGGUUGAUGAAGUUAUCAGCCGGGCCACCAAGAAAAGCCGCUGGGGUUGAAGCAAUCUGACCGUACUAAAACUGACACAGGUAGGCGAGACGAGUAGUCUAAGGCGCUCGGGAGAACGGUGGUUAAGGAACUCUGCAAAAUGACUCCGUAACUUCGGGAUAAGGAGUGCCAUUGGGUGUUCACGCAUCUGGUGGCGGCACGAAUCGGCUCUAGCGACUGUUUACUAAAAACACAGGACUCUGCGAACUCGUAAGAGGAUGUAUAGAGUCUGACGCCUGCUCGGUGCCGGUAAGUUAAGGAAGAGGGUUAGGUUUCGGCCGACGCCCGCAACCGAAGCUCCGGUAAACAGCGGCCCUAACUAUGAGGGUCCUAAGGUAGCGAAGUUCCUUGUCGGGUAAGUUCCGACCUGCAUGAAUGGCGUAACGACUGGAGCACUGUCUCAACCACCGACCCGGUGAAAUUGUAGCCGUGGUGAAGAUGCCACGUACCCGCAGUGUGACGGAAAGACCCUAUGAACCUUUACUGCAGGCUGAUAUUGGUAUUAGGUACGUUUUGUGUAGUAUAGGUGGGAGGCGAUGAAGUGGGGGCGCCAGCCUUCAUGGAGCCACAAUGUGAAAUACCACCCUGAACUUGCUUGAUAUCUAACCCCGAUCCCGUAAACCGGGCGGUGGACAGUGUCAGUUGGGCAGUUUGACUGGGGCGGUCUCCUCCCAAAGUGUAACGGAGGAGCGCAAUGGUACCCUCAGCCUGGUUGGCAAUCAGGCGUAGAGCGUAAGGGUAGAAGGGUGCUUGACUGCGAGACUGAUAGGUCGAGCAGAAACGAAAGUUGGCCCUAGUGAUCCGGCGGUUCCGAAUGGAAGGGCCGUCGCUCAACAGAUAAAAGGUACUCUGGGGAUAACAGGCUGAUCCCUACCGAGCGUCCAUAGCGGCGUAGGGGUUUGGCACCUCGAUGUCGGCUCAUCGCAUCCUGGGGGUGAAGAAGCUCCCAAGGGUCUGGCUGUUCGCCAGUUAAAGCGGUACGUGAGCUGGGUUUAGACCGUCGUGAGACAGGUCGGUCCCUAUCUACUGUGGGCGUACGAUACUUGAGGGAGUUUCUCUUUAGUACGAGAGGAUUUGGAGGGACGUUCCUCUGGUGUUCCUGUUGUCUCACUCGAGGCACGGCAGGGUAGCCACGAACGGUUCGGAUAAGUGCUGAAAGCAUCUAAGCACGAAGCCAGUCCCAAGAUGAGGUAUCGUUAAGUUCCCUGGAAGACGACCAGGUUGAUAGGCCAGUUAUGUAAGGCGGGCAACCGUCUCAGUUGACUGGUACUAACGAACGAACGCUUGACCAUUUA
Molecule: ribosomal RNA, 2875 nt
Filed under: planctomycete str. 658
Lineage: Bacteria; Pseudomonadati; Planctomycetota; Planctomycetia; Planctomycetales; Planctomycetaceae
Description: bacterial LSU rRNA
Rfam family: Bacterial large subunit ribosomal RNA
Source: RNAcentral